RNAcentral lists this long non-coding RNA (418 nucleotides) under Rattus norvegicus (Norway rat). RNAcentral's name for it is "long non-coding RNA NONRATT020155". The record is from RNAcentral. Lineage: Eukaryota; Metazoa; Chordata; Mammalia; Rodentia; Muridae.
AGGGCUCUCGGCGUACACCCAUGUGGAGCUUCCAUAUUACUCCAAGUUUAUUCUUAUUGCUGCGUACCUUGCCUCUUACAACCCCGCGAGAACGGACAGGAGGUUCUUCCUAAAGCAUCAUGGAAAAAUCAAGAAAACUAACUUUCUAAAGAAACAUGAGAAGACAAGCAAUCAUCUUCUUGGACCAAAGCCAUUUCCAUUGGACAGAUUAUUAGCAAUAUUAUAUAGUAUAGUGGACAGCAGAGUGGCUCCAACUGCAAACAUCUUCUCCCAGGUAUUUGUAAGUGUCUGCUUCACUUCAAACACUGCAUUGGAUAAAGACAAUCUAAGAGGACCCGACUGUGUCUGUAGCUUCCUUCUCUUCUGUGGAGACGUUUGUAAUUAUUCUGAGAACAGAACAGCACUGAAGAACAUAGCA